RNAcentral lists this transfer RNA (70 nucleotides) under Methylobacterium phyllostachyos. RNAcentral describes it as "tRNA_Arg_CCG". It matches the Rfam family "tRNA". From Rfam's summary of the family: Transfer RNA (tRNA) molecules are approximately 80 nucleotides in length. Their secondary structure includes four short double-helical elements and three loops (D, anti-codon, and T loops). The record is from RNAcentral. Lineage: Bacteria; Pseudomonadati; Pseudomonadota; Alphaproteobacteria; Hyphomicrobiales; Methylobacteriaceae.
GUGAUCUUAGCUUAGAUCUAGCGUUGCCCUCCGAAGGCAAAGGUCACACGUUCGAAUCGUGUCGGGUGCG